This is a long non-coding RNA of Nyctereutes procyonoides (raccoon dog), 1957 nucleotides long. RefSeq lists it as uncharacterized. Lineage: Eukaryota; Metazoa; Chordata; Mammalia; Carnivora; Canidae. The record is from RefSeq and is a predicted model, not a curated record. The transcript is spliced from 2 exons.
AAAAGAAAAAGAGUGCACACAAGUGGGGAGAGGGGCAGAGAGUGAAUCUUCCAGCAGACUCCUCACUGAGCUAGGACCCCAACCCAGAGGCCUGUCUCACCACCCAUGAGAUCACAACCUGAGCCAAAGCAGAGCCAGAUGCUUAACCAGCCAAACAGAGCCAGCCACCCAGGCACUAUGGGAAAUGCCAAUUCUGAAGGAAAGGAGAAGAUCUUACACUGAAACGGUGAAACUGUAAGACAGAAGCAUCUUGGAUUAUUGAAUCAUCACACUGGGGACAGCUGCCCUGGAAGCUUACCCAGGCCCGCAGCAGUCUUCACGUGAACAGGGACCAAAGCUGUGUCCUCUGUGUGGCCUCCACAGCAGGGCACAGCCUCUAGAUGCACAAACUGCACCUCCUGCGCUCUGGGAAAUGUGCUCGAGGACAAACACGGCAUCAGUGAGGCACUGCUACUCCUUUCCUUGCUCUCUGCCACUAAGGUUUACCUUAGCAGGACUUAACUAAUAUAUGGGGCGCCUGGGGGGCUCAGCACUUGAGCCUCAGCCUUUGGCUCAGGUCAUGACCCUGGGGUCCUGGGAUCGAGUCCCACAUCGGGCUCCCCACCUGUUUCUCCCUCUGCCUGUGUCUCUGCCUCUUCUCUGUCUUUCAUGAAUAAAUAAAUAAAACCCUUGAAAAAAAAAUAAAAAGAACUUACUAAUAUAGCCAGUAAGAGAUGUGGAUACCGCAGGCUAAGAAAUAAAGUAAAUCCCUAUGGCCCUCUUAGAUAAAAUAGGAUAUGCCCUUAACUUUUCCAACUGAACUCUGUACACAAAAAUGAUGUCAUAAGCAGUAUUUAUAGGUGAACAGUCAGUACUACGGUUUAAGAACAUUAUGAUUAAAACCAUUAAUACAUCAAAGUAUCACAACAGCAAUGAUGAUGAUCCUUUUAGGAACUAAAGGUAAAUUUUCUUUCGGGUGGUCAUGGCAUUUCAGGUUCUCUAAUCCUCCUUCUACUCUUGCUAACCCUGCUAUCUGGAGCAUCUCAAAUGUCCCACUGAUACGGCCUGCCACGGCUGCAGCUGCUGCCAUCAUUACUACUGGCUUUUACGGGCCAACGUUGCUGAUGCAUUUGCUGGUUGGUCAGUGCAGAUACCUUAUGCUGCAGACCCUGCGAGAGUCCCAGAAGUCUGGAUUGGCUGUUUCCCACAUUCUGUGAUUCAAGUCGAUGAGAAAAAAUGGACAAAUUAUUUUUGUAUGUUGUCAAGAAUAGUCCAAAGAGUCCAUCCCAUCAAUAAGACCCAUGCGGGACCCAUUGCAGUCACUUCCUGGAAGAGGUUUGGUUGAUGUCAUUCUCAUGUCAUCAUUUAGAUAGCUAACAAUUCAAUGGAGUGGCUUUUCUUUUUUGCUAUUUUGACCAGGUAUUCUAAAACAAGACAAAACAACUUCAAAAUUUAAACAAAAAUUUUAUUUUAUAAAAUUUUGAAUUCCUUGUUUCUGACUUAUUCUAAUUUUGUUUUAGGCCCUUGACCAUGAAGAAAAGCAAUAAACACAUGGCAAGUCAAGUAUCAGCUUUAACUGAUUUUAAUCAAAGUGUAGUGAUGGCUCUCAUGUGCUCUUUAUGGCAAAAUAAAAUUAUUGUGCAUUAACUUGAAAAUAUUUAAUUUGUAGGUCCUGAGAGGCUUCCCUAUAGUCCUCCUUAUGAGUUAUGGAGAAUUCCUAAAAAAAAGCAGAGCUCGCUCCAACCAGUUGCUAUAAAAAAUGUAAUAGAAACUUCCUUAAAAAAAAAAAAAAACUUCCUUAAUAUAUUGUAAUUUAUUGAUUUAUGUCUGUUGGAAUGAAUAUUUGUGAGUUAUUGGCGCCAAUGGUGAAUUGUUAGUAAUGUAUGACUAGCGUCUGCAACAUCUAACACUGCACUUCAAACUGAUUCCAUCAAUGGGAUAAAAAUAAUAAUAAAAUGUAAUGUAAUGAUAAUGUUAA